GCCGCCAAGACGACACCCAGAACUUGCCUAUGACGCCCCGUUUUUGUCACGACCACUUCGACCAAAGUGAGUUCUUCUGCGCGGAGGACACGGGUCGUUCACAGCUUCGAUGGAACGCGAUGCCGACGCUUCUGCUUCCAGUCGAGGACGUGAUCGAGGCAUCUCCGCUGAAGCGCCAGAAAGUCGUGGGCAACGACACUGGUGCCACCAGUCGGGUACUAGUACCUUCUAGUAGUCCUGAGCAUCAGGACAAUGGUGCUGUGGAGCCUGCCACAACAGGUCAAGGUGCUCCAGUGACAAACACCCUUGCUGUGGUAGCAGCUGCACCACCAGUAGCUGCACCACCAGCAGCUGUACCACCAGCGACAGCCAUUGCCAUGGAGGAGGCAGUUACACCACCAGUAGCUGCACAACCAGCAGCUGCACCACCAGCGACAGCCAUUGCUGUGGAGGAGGCGGUUCCACUAAGUCCGCUAAGCCCUGGAGCCACCAGCAUCUCAUCGGGAUCCGAUCUGACAUACUCCCCAACUCGUGACGAAGAUUUUGAGAGCGAUCAAUACACACCAGGCCCACCAGAGGGGGAGCGACAGUUCCUCGUGUUUGAGAGCUGCCUGAGGGAGCUGUUCAGCACCUGCCAGGAGUGUUCAAGGCCCUGCAACACCACAAUCACCCCCCUGGGCACACUGAUCAAGGUGAAAAGCAUCUGCCCCCUGAAUCACGAGCGGAUAUGGGACAGUCAGCCUCUCAUGAACGGGAGGGCAGCUGGAAACAUCCUGCUGUCCAGCCACCUGCUGUUCUCUGGAUCAAAUGUCACAAGCACCUUGAGGAUGCUGCGCCACAUGAACGUGGAGGUCUUCAGCGAUCAGACCUUCUACACGUAUCAGAAGAGCCUCCUGUUCCCUGCAAUCGACGAAGUCUACCUGCAAGAACAACAGGAUCUGGUCAGACAGCUGGAGGACCAGGAUGUUGACAUCACCAGCGAUGGCAGAUUCGACUCUCCUGGGUUCUCUGCCAAGUUCCUGACCUACACUGCACAUGUUCAGCAGAUCAACAAGAUCCUCCACUCCAUCCAAGUCCAGCUAGGAGAGUCGGAGCGAGCCAUGGCAAGUGUCAACAUGGAGAAGGAGGGCCUUAUCAAGCUGCUGGAAUUUUUCAAGGAGAAACGUAUCCAUGUAAAAUCCUUGGGCACUGACCGCCACCCUGCCAUACGAAAACACAUGGAGGUGCACGAACCUGGGACCGCCCACUACUUCGACAUUUGGCACAUCUCCAAAAGUGUGAAGAAAAAGCUGAACGCAGCACGAAAACGAGCUGGAUGUUAACCCCUAGAAGAGUGGACGCAGGCGACCACCAACCACAUGUACUGGUCUGCCAUGGCUGCGGGAGGCAACAGGGAGCUGCUCGUCGAGAUCUGGCUGAGCAUGCAGAACCACGUCAUCGACAAGCACACUGGUCACGGGGGCAGCUACACGCGGUGUGUGCACAACGAAAUUCUCGAAGCCACAAAAAUGUGGAUGGAUCCCAACUCCCCGGCCUACAGUCACUACAAGCAGAUCACUGGGAACAAGCGCCUCCUGAAGGACCUGGCCCAGAUGUCCCCCCACGGCCAGACAUUCGCCCUGGAAUCCUUCCACAGCGUCCUCAUUGACUUCGCUCCCAAGUCCCGGGCAUUCACUCCAGAAGGCAUGCGUGCAAGGACUCGAGUGGCAAUCUUGCAUUUCAAUGAGAACGCUGAUCGCUGCCAAGCUGAGACGAAGAGGGCAAGCCACGCUGGGCGGUGAAAACAUCCAAAGCACGCAAGGGCCACCACACAGCUUGUCCCGUCAAGACAGCACCCACCUACAAACCUUCAAUUCCAGGCUACGUUCACAAGCUCCAAGAGGAGGUGAUCGCAAUCAAUAGUCGAUGGCGGUGUCUUGCUACUGCGGCGAAGGCCAGCACCAACAUCUUUCCGGCGCCCAUGACUGCGGCCUUUGCCAGGCCUUCAAAGGAGGAGUUAGUGGAAGCACGGAGGUCCCGCUUCGGCCGUACUCUGCAGUAA
RNAcentral lists this small RNA (2041 nucleotides) under Ixodes scapularis (black-legged tick). RNAcentral describes it as "uncharacterized LOC120836230". Lineage: Eukaryota; Metazoa; Arthropoda; Arachnida; Ixodida; Ixodidae. The record is from RNAcentral.